Molecule: ribosomal RNA, 1728 nt
Filed under: Triticum aestivum (bread wheat)
Lineage: Eukaryota; Viridiplantae; Streptophyta; Magnoliopsida; Poales; Poaceae
Description: partial small subunit ribosomal RNA
Source: RNAcentral
UACAAACCUGUCUAAGCAACCCCUCCAUAGGGACGGGAUGGGCGCAGCAAAGGGACCCCUUUGCAAGGUGGGGAGGUCCCCAGUCCCUCUCUUCGGUGCCGAGCUCGCUCUGGCGCUCGCGUCGCUGGCUUUCCGCUGCCGCCGGUUCUAGGUCAGGAAGCGGAGGCUCAAAGAGGCCGUCGCUGGCCUCUCUGCCUGGCGGGGGAGGGAGGCCACGAGACGGACGUACGAGGCGGGUGGUCGCUGGCGCUGCCGGCACCAGCAGUGGGAGGAGGAAGGGAUCUAGAUGGGAGGGGGAGCUUCAAGGACGGGGAGGCCACUGCCGUUGCCGCUGCCAAGGUGCCAGUUGAAGGUGGAUGAAGGUGGUUCUCCGACAGAUCCACAACAAAACCACAAAGGGCACCACGUGUACACACGACGGAAAGGAUGUCACGAGACUUGGAGACUGUAAUCGUUUACUAAACGAAAUAGGCUUUUACGAUCCACCACCGCCGCCGCAACACAAGUCACCGAUUCACGUAAAACCAGGCAACCAGUAACUUUUAUAAAGUGGACUACUUUCCCAGAACGAAUUCGUUCUCUUUCAUGACGGUUCAUAGUUGAUCGAUCAAUGUCUAAGUGAGUAGUCCCUUCAUUGAACAUUGUCGUCACCUCACGCCCGUACACGGUAUAUAGAUAAUCAUUAAAUCAUGAAAGUAGCACGAACACGAUCGAGGUCCAAACUUAGAAGGAAUCGUGUGAUAAAAAUCUUCACUACGAAUGACAACCAAUCCCAGAAGACUUCUUGUUAUUGUUAAAAAAUAUAAACGACGUGUUCAAGACGAUACGUAAGUAAAUGUGAAUGCUGUGACGGCCUCUUAUGUAACAAACACUUAACAAACAAUCUGACGGAAUGUAGGAAAAUAUCUAUCUGCGGAAAUUAAGAGACGUGAUUUUUCAGGUACAAACAAAACAGGAAUGAAAGGGGUAAUAUGUAAAAAACAGGGGUAAAAAUGAUUAAAACCUUAAUAUAUAACUGCCCUUCGAACUGUUAUUACUAGAUAACGAAUAGUAGAAGGAAAGAAGACAGGAAUGAAUAAAUCAUUAAUAAUGACUUUACAUACUGUGUUAUUGGUCUUUAUCUUCAAUCAUAAGACCGAGAAUAGAAAAAAAGAGUUGUUCAAGACGACUAACAAUAAUUUUUGAUUCGAUAUCAGUAGUACACGAGUACAUUAACAAUGUUAAGAGUCAACCUAUGUACCACGAUUGAAGGAAAAAAACAUCAAGUUGCUUGUAGCUCAACACCAUGGACUACAUCUACGCCUCACCUCUUUUCUGGACUCAUCCUGAUCACUAAAAGUGGAACGUCGGGUAGGAGAAGCUUUCACAGAUACGGAGCCUGUACUGUUAAACUAUUAAGUCUUAAACACAUCACUUGUUUGAAUUUGUUACUACGUAGUUACGGUUAACAUAACUAACUAAAAUACAACCUUGUGCUUUUUUCCAAAUCGAGUGGCGAAUUAGCCUUACUUUACACCUGGCUACCCAUAAACUUGGAACCACUUCACUACCUAUAGUCAACAUAAAAAAAUUAUUUUAAUAUCAAAUGUACUUAAGACUUCAAAAACAUACACAGACAAAGUAACAUUUUAAUAAACACGUCAAAAAUAGAAACUAGAAAAAAAAAUUAAUAGAAACUAGACAACACAAUAUAGACAUACAAAAUCCACUCCCCAAAGAAAGGGAGGG